AAUAGGGGAGCCGGAGGGAAACCGAGUCUUAAUUGGGCGUUAAGUUGCAGGGUAUAGACCCGAAACCCGGUGAUCUAGCCAUGGGCAGGUUGAAGGUUGGGUAACACUAACUGGAGGACCGAACCGACUAAUGUUGAAAAAUUAGCGGAUGACCUGUGGCUGGGGGUGAAAGGCCAAUCAAACCGGGAGAUAGCUGGUUCUCCCCGAAAGCUAUUUAGGUAGCGCCUCGUGAAUUCAUCUCCGGGGGUAGAGCACUGUUUCGGCUAGGGGGCCAUCCCGGCUUACCAACCCGAUGCAAACUGCGAAUACCGGAGAAUGUUAUCACGGGAGACACACGGCGGGUGCUAACGUCCGUCGUGAAGAGGGAAACAACCCAGACCGCCAGCUAAGGUCCCAAAGUCAUGGUUAAGUGGGAAACGAUGUGGGAAGGCCCAGACAGCCAGGAUGUUGGCUUAGAAGCAGCCAUCAUUUAAAGAAAGCGUAAUAGCUCACUGGUCGAGUCGGCCUGCGCGGAAGAUGUAACGGGGCUAAACCAUGCACCGAAGCUGCGGCAGCGACACUGUGUGUUGUUGGGUAGGGGAGCGUUCUGUAAGCCUGUGAAGGUGUGUCGUGAGGCAUGCUGGAGGUAUCAGAAGUGCGAAUGCUGACAUAAGUAACGAUAAAGCGGGUGAAAAGCCCGCUCGCCGGAAGACCAAGGGUUCCUGUCCAACGUUAAUCGGGGCAGGGUGAGUCGACCCCUAAGGCGAGGCCGAAAGGCGUAGUCGAUGGGAAACGGGUUAAUAUUCCCGUACUUGGUGUUACUGCGAAGGGGGGACGGAGAAGGCUAUGUUGGCCGGGCGACGGUU
This 845-nucleotide ribosomal RNA is filed under the name Salmonella enterica subsp. enterica serovar Enteritidis. Its description in RNAcentral is "partial 23S ribosomal RNA". It matches the Rfam family "Bacterial large subunit ribosomal RNA", at positions 656 to 1503 of the family's 2925-position model. Lineage: Bacteria; Pseudomonadati; Pseudomonadota; Gammaproteobacteria; Enterobacterales; Enterobacteriaceae. The record is from RNAcentral.